UAUUUAUUUUGAAGAUCAAUCCUUUUGAUUGGAAGUCAAAUAUACUAUUAUAUACUAAAUAAAU
This 64-nucleotide transfer RNA is filed under the name Acheta domesticus (house cricket). Its description in RNAcentral is "tRNA-Gly". The record is from RNAcentral. Lineage: Eukaryota; Metazoa; Arthropoda; Insecta; Orthoptera; Gryllidae.